AUGGACUUAGAAGAUUUCACAACUGCUUCCAAACUUCCACAGUGGGGCAAUGUUAAUGAACCCCACAAAUCUGAAUAUAAAGACUUUAUCGCUAGUAUCACUAUGGGAGAAUCUAGGGAUAUAGCACAAGCUACCAUAGGGAGCAUUCAUUUUCCUGCUAUACAUUAUUUUGCUCUCUUCAUUGGUAGAUGCAUUAACGGUAAAGAUGAAGUUUGUCACAUGUGUGUCCCUGAUCUUUGUGUCCUCAAGAGUGCUAUAUUAGGUAAUAAAGAUUACAACUUGGGGGAGUACGUAUUUCUCACCGACUUUACAUUCAUGUUCAAACACUAUUCUAGUUGUCGGUGCUCAUACUCUUUCAUUGUAUUAUCAAUGCUAGUUUAA
This 381-nucleotide ribosomal RNA is filed under the name Triticum aestivum (bread wheat). RNAcentral describes it as "partial small subunit ribosomal RNA". Lineage: Eukaryota; Viridiplantae; Streptophyta; Magnoliopsida; Poales; Poaceae. The record is from RNAcentral.